GCCCAGGUGGCGGAAUUGGUAUACGCGCUAGUCUUAGGAACUAGUGGAGAAAUCCUUGGAGGUUCAAGUCCUCUCCUGGGCACCA
RNAcentral lists this transfer RNA (85 nucleotides) under Minisyncoccota bacterium. RNAcentral's name for it is "tRNA-Leu". It matches the Rfam family "tRNA". Rfam says of the family: Transfer RNA (tRNA) molecules are approximately 80 nucleotides in length. Their secondary structure includes four short double-helical elements and three loops (D, anti-codon, and T loops). The record is from RNAcentral. Lineage: Bacteria; Bacillati; Minisyncoccota.